This 507-nucleotide ribosomal RNA is filed under the name uncultured Sphingopyxis sp. RNAcentral's name for it is "bacterial SSU rRNA". It matches the Rfam family "Bacterial small subunit ribosomal RNA", at positions 90 to 632 of the family's 1533-position model. Lineage: Bacteria; Pseudomonadati; Pseudomonadota; Alphaproteobacteria; Sphingomonadales; Sphingopyxidaceae. The record is from RNAcentral.
GUCUAGUGGCGCACGGGUGCGUAACGCGUGGGAAUCUACCCUUUGCUACGGAAUAACUCAGAGAAAUUUGUGCUAAUACCGUAUAAUGUCGCAAGACCAAAGAUUUAUCGGCAGAGGACGAGCCCGCGUAAGAUUAGCUUGUUGGUGAGGUAAAGGCUCACCAAGGCGACGAUCUUUAGCUGGUCUGAGAGGAUGAUCAGCCACACUGGGACUGAGACACGGCCCAGACUCCUACGGGAGGCAGCAGUGGGGAAUAUUGGACAAUGGGCGAAAGCCUGAUCCAGCAAUGCCGCGUGAGUGAUGAAGGCCUUAGGGUUGUAAAGCUCUUUUACCAGGGAUGAUAAUGACAGUACCUGGAGAAUAAGCUCCGGCUAACUCCGUGCCAGCAGCCGCGGUAAUACGGAGGGAGCUAGCGUUGUUCGGAAUUACUGGGCGUAAAGCGUGCGUAGGCGGUUAUUCAAGUCAGAGGUGAAAGCCUGGAGCUCAACUCCAGAACUGCCUUUGAAA